CCUCAAAAUAUUAUAAACGUGUUCAUUUUGUGUUGUAAAGUUUUCAUGUUUAGAGAAGUUUUUCAGCAAAUGGGUAAUGUAAAACCAAUCACAAACUAAAAAUCUCUUAAACAUAACAAAACAAAAGAAGAAAAAACGUCUGUAUUGCGCUGCAAACACUCAUAACCUUACUACUCAGUGUAUAUUGAUGGUGUAGUUGCAGGUGUUUGUAAAACUGGCACUGCUAAAGAAAAGCGCUGAGCUGCAGGAAAUUCCGGAAACCCGACGCUAAUAGGAAGUGACUCGGCACGUAGCGCCGACAGGCUACCGGCAAACACACAACAAUAGACUGUAGGCGGAUGUGGAUGGAACUGCGAGUGGAACUUCGAUGUCGAAGGAGCGGAAUGUAAUAAUCGACAGGAUCGGCAACAGCAAACGCCACUUGACCCCAGACCCCCGUGCGCCACGUCCUAGCUACGGGCCGCGGCGAUGAUGGUUACUUAGCAACUAUUAAUCACAUUCUAUCGUUAGCAUCGGCUUACAGCCGGGAUAUUAUAACCCGAUAUGCAGCGGGAUGAAUCGUUUUAUGUUUUCCCUGCGGCCCUGCGAUUACAUAUCGUGCUUCUUCUAUGGUGUGCUGAAUUUUAUUGCUUUCACCCCUGGUAACCUACCUGGCUGUAUGCAUAUCUUGAAUAAUACAAGUACCUAAGCUAGCUUAAUAUUGCAUAGAGAAUAAUCAUAAAGAAAAAAGCACAACUUAA
Molecule: long non-coding RNA, 740 nt
Organism: Dalotia coriaria
Lineage: Eukaryota; Metazoa; Arthropoda; Insecta; Coleoptera; Staphylinidae
Exons: 3
Source: RefSeq, a predicted model, not a curated record